RNAcentral lists this ribosomal RNA (361 nucleotides) under uncultured bacterium. RNAcentral describes it as "bacterial SSU rRNA". It matches the Rfam family "Bacterial small subunit ribosomal RNA", at positions 355 to 735 of the family's 1533-position model. The record is from RNAcentral.
AGGGGAAUAUUGGACAAUGGGGGAAACCCUGAUCCAGCCAUGCCGCGUGAGUGAUGAAGGCCUUAGGGUUGUAAAGAUCUUUCACACACGAGGAUAAUGACGGUACCGGGAGAAGAAGCCCCGGCUAAAUUCGUGCCAGCAGCCGCGGUAAUAUGAAGGGGGCGAGCGUUGUUUUGAAUUAUUGGGGGUAAAGCGCACGCAGGCGGUGAUCUUAGUCAGAAGUGAAAGCCCCGGGCUCAACCCGGGAAUUGCUUUUGAUACUGGAUCGCUAGAAUCACGGAGAGGGUAGUGGAAUUCCGAGUGUAGAGGUGAAAUUAGUAGAUAUUCGGAAGAACACCAGGGCGAAGGAGGUACCUGGCCG